AACCAGUGAUGUAAAAGAUUCUGCCAAAUGAUAGAAUAUGAUUUUAUUCAUAAACCGUUCCAUUUUUUUUUACACUGAGGUU
RNAcentral lists this small nucleolar RNA (82 nucleotides) under Phascolarctos cinereus (koala). RNAcentral's name for it is "Small nucleolar RNA SNORD47 (ENSPCIG00000003515.2)". It matches the Rfam family "Small nucleolar RNA SNORD47". From Rfam's summary of the family: U47 belongs to the C/D class of snoRNA which contain the C (UGAUGA) and D (CUGA) box motifs. Most of the members of the box C/D family function in directing site-specific 2'-O-methylation of substrate RNAs. The record is from Rfam by way of RNAcentral. Lineage: Eukaryota; Metazoa; Chordata; Mammalia; Diprotodontia; Phascolarctidae.